GAUGAAGAACGUAGUGAAAUGCGAUAAGUAGUGUGAAUUGCAGAAUUCAGUGAAUCAUCGAAUCUUUGAACGCACAUUGCGCCCCUUGGUAUUCCAUGGGGCAUGCCUGUUCGAGCGUCAUUUGUACCUUCAAGCUCUGCUUGGUGUUGGGUGUUUGUCUCGCCUCCGCGUGUAGACUCGCCUCAAAACGAUUGGCAGCCGGCGUAUUGAUUUCGGAGCGCAGUACAUCUCGCGCUUUGCACUCACAACGACGGCGUCCAGAAGUACAUUUUUACACUCUUGACCUCGGAUCAGGUAGGGAUACCCGCUGAACUUAAGCAUAUCAAUAAGCGGAGGA
Molecule: unclassified non-coding RNA, 337 nt
Filed under: soil metagenome
Description: partial contains 5.8S ribosomal RNA, internal transcribed spacer 2, and large subunit ribosomal RNA
Rfam family: 5.8S ribosomal RNA (bases 1-120)
Source: RNAcentral